Molecule: unclassified non-coding RNA, 195 nt
Filed under: plant metagenome
Description: partial contains small subunit ribosomal RNA, internal transcribed spacer 1, and 5.8S ribosomal RNA
Source: RNAcentral
UCUCCGUUGGUGAACCAGCGGAGGGAUCAUUACCGAGUUUACAACUCCCAAACCCCUGUGAACAUACCAUUUGUUGCCUCGGCGGUGCCUGCUUCGGCAGCCCGCCAGGGGACCCAAACCCUUGAUUUUAUACAGUAUCUUCUGAGUAAAUGAUUAAAUAAAUCAAAACUUCCAACAACGGAUCUCUUGGUUCUG